Molecule: long non-coding RNA, 2433 nt
Organism: Numida meleagris (helmeted guineafowl)
Lineage: Eukaryota; Metazoa; Chordata; Aves; Galliformes; Numididae
Exons: 3
Source: RefSeq, a predicted model, not a curated record
GUUACCACCCAUUGGAUCAGGCUGCCCAGGGCCCCAUCCAGCCUGGCCACACAACUUCUCUGGGCAACCUGUUCAAUGCCUCACCAUGAUAACCCACCAAGCAGUGCCGAAGAGCACACUGACUUUGUUAAUUUUUUUACCACUGCUGCUUCUGUGGUUUUCUCACUGCAGCAGAGCCCAGCUGAGAGUGGGACACCUGCAUAGAUCCUGUCCUGGCCUAGCAUACAGCAAAGAGCUGAGUGCUUGUGCACCAGCAUGCAGACCCAGCUCUGUGUCCUGAGGGGCUGCUGUGCGUGCAGAGAUUUUAGCAUCUGACUCCCUCUGCUGAAUGGGAUUAAAGUUACGUACGCGCACGACUCCUCGCAGAAGUGCUGCCAAAUAGAUACAGCAGACAAAGGGAAGGAGAAAGGAAGCGUAAUUAUUCCCAGGAGGAUUCUUGUGCUGCUGGUGUCAUCCCCCAGGCUGCACCUAUUAUAAGAGUCUGUUCAUCUCCAGGGAAGAAAGCUUAAAAAGUUCUCGGCAAUAAGCUUAGAAGAAAGGUGAUAAAAGUACAGCUUCAGCUUGCUCCAUGCAGUUCAUGAUUAUAAACCUCUGUUCGCAAGGACUCAGAUUCAUAGAAGGCAGCGAGUUCCUCGGUAUCACCCUUUUCAGUGUGUCCCUCGUAAAAACUGCAUGCAGUGGGUCAUCCAGUGCAGGGGGCACCCAAAGGCAGAGUGAAAGCGGUCCUGCGCUGCAUUCUGCUGCGGGUUGCUACGCUCACCUAUUUUGUGGUGCUGAGGGACCCUUUUCUCCAUCUAGAAGCUUCUGACAAUUUUUAUAAACAUGUCAGGUGUAACAGUCCAUUCUGGCAAAUUGCUCUCGGAUGCGCUCACUCAAGCACGGCUCAUAUCGGUGGGGUCCUGAGGAAAUACUAUUCAUGGGAACAGCAGAAGAAGUCCCUAGAAGUGCUGGAGACCCACAGCAGAGGACAGAGUGAAGAAACAUCUCUGAGCCCCCCACACAAGAGGCAGGGAGGAUUUGGCUGCUCUCCGCUCUGUUUGGCAGCCAGCAAGCACACAUGCAUGAGCGUUUGUUACUGCAUGGAAGUCCUUUGGAUCAGCCCUGGGUUGCUGGAGCUGUGCUGCAGACCGACGAGGAAGAGGAGCUGUGCAAUGACACACACCUUCCCCAUAUUUCUCCUCCCGUCUUGCUGUGAGGCAGAAAUGGGGGAGGCAGCCGUGACAGCACUUGCAGCAUUUUAAAUUUAAAUUCCUCAGGUCUGACUCUGCACCCCUUGUCCUUCAUUUGGCCACUAGUUGGAGCACGGGGUGGCAGGACUUGGCAGCCCAGCACUGGAUCAUGGGAUGGCCAAGGUCUGAAGGGUCCUCACAGCAAUGGAGGUGACAGGAGCUGUGCUGCAGAUGGCACGAAAUCCGUGCAUGGUUCCUGUUGCAGGCACAUCUGGUUGGGCACGUCGGCUUGUCAUCUUCUCCCUCAAAGGAGUCACUGGACUCCUUCAGCAGGCUCGUCAACAGUAAUAGCUUGAGCAAACAGCAAACCUGGGCGCCAGCUUCACCGUAUGUAACAUCAAAGGAAAUACGAAGAAAAAAAGGCAUUUGCUCUUACAUCUUGUCUGCAAAAUAAAAUGCAAAUGAAAUAGUGUGUUUUCCUUGAUUUCCAUUUGAUAUUACCCACUGUCAAAGUUAGGAAGUUAUGCAGCUUGCUACCAAGCACAGGUCAAUAAAUAAAUGAAUGGAGAAAAUAUUGACAAGCUUGAUUUCAAAGGUCACAGGAACGGGAUAAGUGCCACAAGGCCUUUAGCCUUUACCUUCCCCUUUCCGGUCCUCCCCAAAUGCCAAAAUGCCGCACUCUCCUCUUUUCCAAAGGCAUCUGAGGGACGCAACUCUCAGCAGCCAGAGGGGAAGACACAGCAAAAGGGACUGCAGCUUUCAGGUGGACAGAAAAUUCUGAGAAGCAAAGAGCAUCACACCCUUAUGGAUCAGAUGGGAGGUGGGGGCUGAAAUAACACCUGUAUCGUGGCUUGGCCAAACCGGACUCCAGAGUUCAAGGGUGAUGUUAUAAAGCAAGGUUUGGGUAAAAGCAUGAAAGCUGAUGAAUGGAUGAGUUCUUAUUCAAGAAGUUGUAAGGCAGCUACAGCCUUCAGGUAACUGCUGUGGUGCACAUUGAAAUUGCCAAAGCUUGUAAAGUCUGAUUUACUCUGUGGGGAGGGAAGGGGAAGUCAUUUGGUUUGAGUCAUAAGAGGUCUUGAUAUAAUCUAAGCUUCAUCAUCUCUGAAGAAACAGCUCUCUCCCUGGACUUGCAUCAAAAGGCUUUGAGCAGCCCUGAUAACGCAACAGCAGAGAACAAUUCCUAGCAGUGAAGAUUACAAGACCUUUAUAUCGGCUGCUCUUGCAUUACAACACCUGAUGGGCAUUCCAGGUUUAUAGUCAGUUC